Molecule: unclassified non-coding RNA, 399 nt
Filed under: soil metagenome
Description: partial contains 5.8S ribosomal RNA, internal transcribed spacer 2, and large subunit ribosomal RNA
Rfam family: 5.8S ribosomal RNA (bases 1-122)
Source: RNAcentral
GAUGAAGAACGUAGUGAAAUGCGAUACUUGGUGUGAAUUGCAGAAUCCCGUGAACCAUCGAGUCUUUGAACGCAAGUUGCGCCUCAAGCCAUUAGGUUGAGGGCACGUCUGCCUGGGCGUCACAUAUCGUUGCCUGAUGCCAGUUUCCUCGUGAUGGGUGACUGUGCAGGGCGAAUGAUGGCUUCCCGUGAGCAUUGUUGCCUCAUGGUUGGUUGAAAAUUGAGUCCUUGGUAGGGAGCGCCGUGAUAGAUGGUGGUUGAGUGACGAACGAGACCCAAUCAUGUGAGACCCCUACCGAAUUUGGCCUUCAUGACCCACAUGCGUCUUUGGAACGCUCAUGACGAGACCUCAGGUCAGGCGGGGCUACCCGCUGAGUUUAAGCAUAUCAAUAAGCGGAGG